GUAGCGAAAGUUACGCUAAUACCGCAUAUUCUGUGAGCAGGAAAGCAGGGGAUCGCAAGACCUUGCGCUGAUUGAGCGGCCGAUAUCAGAUUAGCUAGUUGGUGAGGUAAAGGCUCACCAAGGCGACGAUCUGUAGCGGGUCUGAGAGGAUGAUCCGCCACACUGGAACUGAGACACGGUCCAGACUCCUACGGGAGGCAGCAGUGGGGAAUUUUGGACAAUGGGGGCAACCCUGAUCCAGCCAUGCCGCGUGAGUGAAGAAGGCCUUCGGGUUGUAAAGCUCUUUCGGCCGGGAAGAAAUCGUAUGGGUUAAUACCCUGUGCGGAUGACGGUACCGGCAUAAGAAGCACCGGCUAACUACGUGCCAGCAGCCGCGGUAAUACGUAGGGUGCGAGCGUUAAUCGGAAUUACUGGGCGUAAAGCGUGCGCAGGCGGUUUUGUAAGACAGGCGUGAAAUCCCCGGGCUCAACCUGGGAACUGCGCUUGUGACUGCAAGGCUAGAGUACGGCAGAGGGGGGUGGAAUUCCACGUGUAGCAGUGAAAUGCGUAGAGAUGUGGAGGAACACCAAUGGCGAAGGCAGCCCCCUGGGUCGAUACUGACGCUCAUGCACGAAAGCGUGGGUAGCAAACAGGAUUAGAUACCCUGGUAGUCCACGCCCUAAACGAUGUCAACUAGGUGUUGGGUGGGUAAAACCAUUUAGUACCGGAGCUAACGCGUGAAGUUGACCGCCUGGGGAGUACGGCCGCAAGGUUAAAACUCAAAGGAAUUGACGGGGACCCGCACAAGCGGUGGAUGAUGUGGAUUAAUUCGAUGCAACGCGAAAAACCUUACCUACCCUUGACAUGUCCAGGAGCCUGAAGAGAUUUGGGUGUGCCCGAAAGGGAACUGGAACACAGGUGCUGCAUGGCUGUCGUCAGCUCGUGUCGUGAGAUGUUGGGUUAAGUCCCGCAACGAGCGCAACCCUUGUCGUUAAUUGCCAUCAUUUAGUUGGGCACUUUAACGAGACUGCCGGUGACAAACCGGAGGAAGGUGGGGAUGACGUCAAGUCCUCAUGGCCCUUAUGGGUAGGGCUUCACACGUCAUACAAUGGUCGGUACAAAGGGUCGCCAACCCGCGAGGGGGAGCCAAUCCCAGAAAGCCGAUCGUAGUCCGGAUCGUAGGCUGCAACUCGCCUGCGUGAAGUCGGAAUCGCUAGUAAUCGUGGAUCAGCAUGUCACGGUGAAUACGUUCCCGGGUCUUGUACACACCGCCGUCACACCAUGGGAGCGGGUUCCGCCAGAAGUAGGUAGCCUAACCGCAAGGGGGGCGCUUACCACGGCGGGGUUCGUGACUGGGGUGAAGUCGUAACAAGGUA
RNAcentral lists this ribosomal RNA (1355 nucleotides) under metagenome. RNAcentral describes it as "bacterial SSU rRNA". It matches the Rfam family "Bacterial small subunit ribosomal RNA", at positions 148 to 1498 of the family's 1533-position model. The record is from RNAcentral.